Molecule: long non-coding RNA, 1262 nt
Filed under: Homo sapiens (human)
Lineage: Eukaryota; Metazoa; Chordata; Mammalia; Primates; Hominidae
Description: HSALNT0343755
Source: RNAcentral
GAGUCAUCAUGCCUCGCCUGUAAGAUGAGAAAAUCAAGGCCCAGAAAGAAGGUGACUGACUAUUGGUCUCAGCAACACUGACAGUGAACAAAUCAAACAAGAAGGCAGGCACGGUGGCUGAUGCCUGUAAUCCUGUCAUUUUGGGAGAUGGAGGCGGGUGGAUCACUUAAGCCCAGGAGUUCAAGACAAGCCUGGGGAACAUGGCAAAGCCCUGUCUCUACAAAAAAUACAAAAACUAGCCAGGUGUGGUGGCACGCAUCUGUAGUCCCAGCUACUGGGAAGGCUGAGAGGUGGGAGGAUCACUUGAGCCCUGGAGGUUGAGGCUGCAGUGAGCCAUGAUUGCACCACUGCCCUCCAGCCUGGGCGACAGAGUGAGACCUUGUCUCAAAAAUAUUUUAAAAAUUAAACAAACAAGAGGGCUUAAGUGUCACAACCAUCAAUGGGGAAAGUGUCCGUGCAUAAUUUAUUUCUGGAAGCCCUGAGAAGAACAAGCAUCAACAGCUUUCUGAGAGACUUAUAACUUUUAGCUGAGGGAAUCUCAAUAUUUAACCAAAUAACACUUGAAGAAAAGCAGAAAUCAUCGAGACAGCAGCUCCUGGGAACUAGGUUUUAUGAUGUGUUCUAAAGACAUAAGCGAGAAGCCUGCUGUCACUUGUUAGCUGUGUGCUGAAGUGCAGUUUGGGGUGUCUUUAGGGCAGGUAAUAAAUUCCUUUCAGAGAUUGAAAUCACAUACCAACGUGAAUCUUCCACAUCCCUGAAAACUACUUAGGCAAGAUGCCUCACAUGACACGGAACUCUCGAUUUGGCAACACAUGUUGGGGUUCAGCCCCCCACAAUCCUGGCACAGUGUGGGUGCUCGCUAAAUAUUUAUUUGGAUAAAAUGGGCUUUCCUUAACUUUACAGUUUUCUGGGGAUAGAAGACUCAGGAAACAUGAGAGAGCAGUAUAAAAUGUGUAAGUACACAGUGGAAGGCUGGGGUUCCUAGUGAGGAUUUUAGAAUCUCACAAACGAAAGCAGCCAGACACAAAAAAAUACGUGCAAUAUGAUUCCAUGUACAUGAAGAACAAAUGUGGAUCAAAUUAACUUAUGCCAUUAGAAGCGAGAAUAUUGGUUACCUUUGGGGACCAGGGUUGGGGGUGAGUGUCUGGGAAAGAGAACUUCUAGGGUGCUAUUAACCCUAGCCCUAUUCUAUUUCUUAAUCGGGGGGCUGGGUGCCUCUAUGGAUUCACUUUGUGAUAAUUUAUCAAAUGGUUCUGUAUGUG